Molecule: long non-coding RNA, 327 nt
Filed under: Fragaria vesca (wild strawberry)
Lineage: Eukaryota; Viridiplantae; Streptophyta; Magnoliopsida; Rosales; Rosaceae
Description: long non-coding RNA (FVES_LNC000672)
Source: RNAcentral
UGUCGUUUACUAAAGGAGUGAGGGAGUUUGGGGUAUUGGUACGGAGCUUGAGACGGAUGGAGUCGAUGAGGUUGGCGCGGUGGAGGUAGUGGGAGAGCUUGUUGGGAAAUAGGUUGCGGGAAUAGCGGCGGGUGAGGAUUUUGAGGAGGUGGAAAUGCAUGGUCAAUAUGUCGAACAGGUGGUGGGCAUGACUUCAAGUAGCGGAGAAUUGAGGUUGCGAGUUUGGGAUUGGAGAUUUUGGGGUUGAGAUAAAGAGGAAGUGAGAAUUAAAUUUGGGUUGUGGCCGGAGAAUGUGUAGUGCUUGUCAACAUCUAUUCCGUUCCCCAC